GACGAACGCUGGCGGCGUGCUUAACACAUGCAAGUCGAACGGAAAGGCCCCCACCUUGGUGGGGGUGCUCGAGUGGCGAACGGGUGAGUAACACGUGGGUGAUCUGCCCUGUACUUCGGGAUAAGCUUGGGAAACUGGGUCUAAUACCGGAUAGGACCAUGGUUUAGUGUCUCAUGGUGGAAAAAUUAUUGUUUUGGUGCAGGAUGAGCUCGCGGCCUAUCAGCUUGUUGGUGGGGUAAUGGCCUACCAAGGCGUCGACGGGUAGCCGGCCUGAGAGGGUGGACGGCCACAUUGGGACUGAGAUACGGCCCAGACUCCUACGGGAGGCAGCAGUGGGGAAUAUUGCACAAUGGGCGCAAGCCUGAUGCAGCGACGCCGCGUGGGGGAUGACGGCCUUCGGGUUGUAAACUCCUUUCGUUAGGGACGAAGCCAUAC
This 435-nucleotide ribosomal RNA is filed under the name Corynebacterium matruchotii. RNAcentral's name for it is "bacterial SSU rRNA". It matches the Rfam family "Bacterial small subunit ribosomal RNA", at positions 28 to 456 of the family's 1533-position model. The record is from RNAcentral. Lineage: Bacteria; Bacillati; Actinomycetota; Actinomycetes; Mycobacteriales; Corynebacteriaceae.